GAUUUCUGGCGGAACAUUUCAGGCCGGCCACGGUUUCGUGUGUUAGUGCUUGAAGUCUUCGCCAUCCUUCCAAUGGCUAUUCAUCCUUCUUCAUUGAGGUGGUGAGUGGUAUUGGAUCUUUUACUUUGAAAAAAUUAGAGUGUUCCAAGCAGGCUUUAUGCUAUGAAUACAUUAGCAUGGAGUAAUAAUUUAGGACUUCGGUUCUAUUUUGUUGGUUUCUAGGACUGAAGUAAUGAUUGAUAGGGAUAGUUGGGGGUGCUAGUAUUCAGCGGCCAGAGGUGAAAUUCUCGGAUUCGCUGAAGACUAACUUAUGCGAAAGCAUU
Molecule: ribosomal RNA, 323 nt
Filed under: uncultured Neoheteromita
Lineage: Eukaryota; Cercozoa; Glissomonadida; Viridiraptoridae
Description: SSU rRNA
Rfam family: Eukaryotic small subunit ribosomal RNA (bases 113-323)
Source: RNAcentral